UUGAGAAACAUCAACAAAGCCAUAGGACUAUUCUGAGUAAAUUGACCAAUUCAAAUUCAGGAUCCUGAAACAAUUUGGCUAUAACCUCUAAUUGAUGAAGGACAUCUUAAGAAUUCAUUGUACAAGGCUUCCUCUCCAGUGUUGCUGGAACUGUUAUAAAACCCAUGCAUGGUUGUAUAUUUUAGUUUGAUCAUUUAUACUCAUUGAAUUAUUGUUGUUUGCUUUAUGUUUUAAUUUCUUUGUAAUUUUUCUCUGUGACACAGGUGGAGACGCUGGUGGCGAAGUGGAUCCCACUCAUUUCUUUCUCCCACACACAUUCUUACUCUCUCCCUCUCUCUGUGUGUGUAUGUGCAUGUGUAUGUGUUUGUGUGUCUGUGUGUGUCCAUGUCGUGAUGUCACUGUACCUUUAAUUGCGCUUGCUGUUCGUAACUGUAUGUGUCUGAUGUUGAAGGUAUCAGAGGCUAGGGUCAGUAAGAGCUAGGACAUUUUUGUGCAUAACCUUUAAUCCCUAGGCGAUCGGUUCGGGGAACUUCUGGUCCGGCCGGAGUGUGAAUCUUCCUACCAACUAUCUGCCAAGAUCAAUUGGACUGCACAAGCCGAGAAAGCCUUCAUUGGACCAAAACUACACACACGAGGAGGCUUCGCCUUCGGUGCCAGGCGUCUGGGUCCUGCUAAAAGUCACCAAAAGGAAGUGGACGGAACCAAGGUGGACCGGGCCAUACAGGAUCACGGAGAGGACAUCACACGCUGUCCGGCUGGACGGGAGGAGCCUAACCUGGAAGAGAAGCAGCCGACAUCUGCCUGACCAGAAGAAGUACCCAAGGACCAGGACGAGAAGCAGCUGACAUCUGACCAACCAGAGAAAGGAUCCAAAAACCAGGAAGAGAAGUAGCUGACUGCAGUAGCAUGCCAAGCUGCCACCACAUCCUGCAGGACGAGAAUCGUGACAUCAUCACCCCCUGCAGCUGCCUGGAGCCAGUGAAGGGACCUCAACAGGGGGAAGAAGUAACCACCCUAUGAACAUUCUACAAGGGUUCUAUUUAACACCCUCAUUUAUUUUACAAGGGUAAUAUUUUACACCCUCCACCUGCUGAC
Non-coding RNA from Nothobranchius furzeri (turquoise killifish), 1095 nucleotides. NCBI's taxonomy places the organism in Eukaryota, Metazoa, Chordata, Actinopteri, Cyprinodontiformes, Nothobranchiidae. The record is from RefSeq and is a predicted model, not a curated record.